GAAAAACCCUCCUCUCUUCCGCAUUUUUCCGCUUCGCUUUCCCAAUACAGGUACUUCCUUCACUAUGAGCUUAACCUCUCUCAGGCUCGCAUCAAACCCCAUCACUUCCCCAAAGUGGGCCCACCGUCGGCUUCUCCCUCCUCGGAACGUCGUAGUAUGCUCCGUUAAAACUCCUCCCUCCUCGCCGUCGUUGAGUGUCGCCGAGUCUGCCACCAGCGACUCCCUAAGUCGUAUUGAAUCUCUCAGUCAAGUUUCCGGCGUUUUAGGUUGUCAGUGGGGCGAUGAAGGUAAAGGCAAACUCGUCGACAUCUUGGCUCAGCAUUUCGACGUCGUCGCUCGUUGCCAGGGUGGAGCCAAUGCUGGUCAUACCAUCUACAGUUCAGAGGGAAAGAAAUUUGCCCUUCACCUUGUUCCUUCGGGUAUUCUUAAUGAGGAUACUCUCUGCGUUAUUGGCAAUGGAGUUGUGGUGCAUCUUCCAGGUUUGUUUAAGGAGAUUGAUGGCCUGGAAUCUAAUGGUGUCUCGUGCGAGGGAAGGAUAUUGGUGUCGGACCGUGCUCAUCUGUUAUUUGAUUUCCAUCUAGAAGUAGAUGGGCGUAGAGAAGCUGAGCUUGCUAAAUCAUUUAUUGGCACUACUAGAAGAGGGAUCGGACCUUGUUACUCGAGCAAGGUGAUCCGCAAUGGCAUUAGAGUAAGUGACUUGAGGCACAUGGAUACUUUUCCUCAGAAGCUUGAUGUUUUAUUAUCAGAUGCAGCUUCAAGGUUCCAAGGUUUUAACUAUGGCCCAGAAAUGCUCAGGGAUGAAGUUGAGAGAUACAAGAGAUUUGCAGAGAGGUUGGAACCCUUCAUUGCAGAUACGGUGCAUGUUAUGAAUGAAUCCAUUGCACAGAAGAAGAAGAUUUUGGUUGAAGGUGGUCAAGCAACUAUGCUGGACAUUGACUUUGGAACUUAUCCCUUUGUGACUUCAUCUAGCCCGUCAGCUGGCGGGAUCUGCACUGGUCUUGGUAUUGCUCCAAGAGUCAUUGGUGAUCUCAUUGGAGUGGUGAAAGCAUACACUUCAAGGGUUGGUUCUGGCCCUUUCCC
This 1080-nucleotide unclassified non-coding RNA is filed under the name Hevea brasiliensis (rubber tree). The record is from RNAcentral. Lineage: Eukaryota; Viridiplantae; Streptophyta; Magnoliopsida; Malpighiales; Euphorbiaceae.